UAGGGAAUAUUGGACAAUGGGGGCAACCCUGAUCCAGCCAUGCCGCGUGAGUGAAGAAGGCCCUCGGGUUGUAAAGCUCUUUUGUCCGGAAAGAAAAGCUUCGGGUUAAUACCCCGGGGUUCUGACGGUACCGGAAGAAUAAGCACCGGCUAACUUCGUGCCAGCAGCCGCGGUAAUACGAAGGGUGCAAGCGUUACUCGGAAUUACUGGGCGUAAAGCGUGCGUAGGUGGUUGGUUAAGUCUGAUGUGAAAGCCCUGGGCUCAACCUGGGAAUGGCAUUGGAAACUGGGCAGCUAGAGUGCGGUAGAGGGUAGUGGAAUUCCCGGUGUAGCAGUGAAAUGCGUAGAGAUCGGGAGGAACAUCUGUGGCGAAGGCGACUGCCUGGACGAGCACUGACACUGAGGCACGAAAGCGUGGGGAGCAAACA
RNAcentral lists this ribosomal RNA (427 nucleotides) under uncultured bacterium. RNAcentral describes it as "bacterial SSU rRNA". It matches the Rfam family "Bacterial small subunit ribosomal RNA", at positions 355 to 774 of the family's 1533-position model. The record is from RNAcentral.